AUUGAACGCUGGCGGCAGGCCUAACACAUGCAAGUCGAGCGGUAGCACAGAGAGCUUGCUCUCGGGUGACGAGCGGCGGACGGGUGAGUAAUGUCUGGGAAACUGCCUGAUGGAGGGGGAUAACUACUGGAAACGGUAGCUAAUACCGCAUAACGUCGCAAGACCAAAGAGGGGGACCUUCGGGCCUCUUGCCAUCGGAUGUGCCCAGAUGGGAUUAGCUAGUAGGUGGGGUAACGGCUCACCUAGGCGACGAUCCCUAGCUGGUCUGAGAGGAUGAGCAGCCACACUGGAACUGAGACACGGUCCAGACUCCUACGGGAGGCAGCAGUGGGGAAUAUUGCACAAUGGGCGCAAGCCUGAUGCAGCCAUGCCGCGUGUAUGAAGAAGGCCUUCGGGUUGUAAAGUACUUUCAGCGGGGAGGAAGGGAGUAAAGUUAAUACCUUUGCUCAUUGACGUUACCCGCAGAAGCACCGGCUAACUCCGUGCCAGCAGCCGCAGUAA
Molecule: ribosomal RNA, 501 nt
Filed under: uncultured bacterium
Lineage: Bacteria
Description: partial 16S ribosomal RNA
Rfam family: Bacterial small subunit ribosomal RNA
Source: RNAcentral